UCAACAACGGAUCUCUUGGUUCCGGCAUCGAUGAAGAACGCAGCGAAAUGCGAUACGUAAUGUGAAUUGCAAAUUCAGUGAAUCAUCGAGUCUUUGAACGCACAUUGCGCCCCCUGGUAUUCCGGGGGGCAU
RNAcentral lists this ribosomal RNA (132 nucleotides) under Penicillium chrysogenum. RNAcentral's name for it is "5.8S ribosomal RNA". It matches the Rfam family "5.8S ribosomal RNA", at positions 6 to 138 of the family's 154-position model. Rfam says of the family: 5.8S ribosomal RNA (5.8S rRNA) is a component of the large subunit of the eukaryotic ribosome. It is transcribed by RNA polymerase I as part of the 45S precursor that also contains 18S and 28S rRNA. Functionally, it is thought that 5.8S rRNA may be involved in ribosome translocation. The record is from RNAcentral. RNAcentral also lists the same sequence under 2 other names. Lineage: Eukaryota; Fungi; Ascomycota; Eurotiomycetes; Eurotiales; Aspergillaceae.